GUGUCAAAUAUUGAAUUGAUAAAUUUUAAUAGUUUUAGAUUGUCAAUCUUAGGAAGAUGGCUUAUAAUAAAUUUCAGUAUAUUGUUGUCAAUCUUCAGAACGUAUUGCACAUCCCUAUUCUUAAUUGUAGUAAGAUAAUUUACAAACCCAUUUACAGACCCUUGUUUGUUGAAAAUUUCUCUUAUUUGUUCUUCUAAAAUGCUCAUGAACUGAGUUUUUAGGUUAGGAGUUGAGUUUGAAGUAAUGGG
Molecule: long non-coding RNA, 248 nt
Filed under: Elaeis guineensis (African oil palm)
Lineage: Eukaryota; Viridiplantae; Streptophyta; Magnoliopsida; Arecales; Arecaceae
Description: long non-coding RNA (EGUI_LNC054748)
Source: RNAcentral